GCCCACAAGUAGCAUAAAUUUCAUUUGUGUCUCAAAUGUAUCUGUAAAUUUCACAUUGAGGUGGUCCAUGUAAAAAUUUUAAAUGCCUGCUUCGUUGGAGGACACCUAGCAAGAUGUUCUGGAAUGUUUAAUUGGAGUAAUUUUUGUUUUAGGUGAGAAAUAUUUUUUAAAGAGGUUUGGUCUCUACUCCAUGAAGCACCAUUGACUAGCAGUGCACCUUCACUGCAAUACACAGCUUAAUGUAGCGGGAAACCUUUCAUGCUCGUGGCAUUUUCCUCAGCAGAGCGUUGCAGGAGUUCCUGAGACUGCCAUGCCUCAAAUAUAGCUUUUGGCUGAUGCGUAUGGCAUAGAAUGACCCAAAUAUGAAUUUCAGUUAAAGGACACCAGCAUACCUUGGCCAAUUUCUAAAUGUCACAUUAUAUCCUUUGCAAGUUUUGGACCUUGCUUUCCGAUUGUGUAAAUGCCCAAAAGAUGGUUGCCAAAAAAUAGAAAUGAUGGUUACUCUGCAACUGGUCCUUUGUGCAUUCUUUCACAUCAUAUAUAACAUGAAAGCCAGGACAACGCAUGAGGUGUUUCCUGCAGACUUCAACAUCAAAAGGCAUAGCCACUCAACGAUGCUGGUGAACACAAUUAGGACAUUUUUUAAGUUCUUCAAGCAUUAGCACAUAGGGCAGAUACAACAAAGAAGCUAGCGUACACAAAUAAAAAGAAUUUAUACAUGUUGAAA
Molecule: long non-coding RNA, 727 nt
Filed under: Dermacentor andersoni
Lineage: Eukaryota; Metazoa; Arthropoda; Arachnida; Ixodida; Ixodidae
Description: uncharacterized LOC126530968
Source: RNAcentral